This 97-nucleotide non-coding RNA is filed under the name bovine gut metagenome. RNAcentral describes it as "THF riboswitch". It matches the Rfam family "THF (Tetrahydrofolate) riboswitch aptamer". From Rfam's summary of the family: THF riboswitch presents a pseudoknot that joins P1-P2 and the loop of P3 and two THF binding. The record is from RNAcentral.
GCAGAGUAGAAUACCUGGCGUAAAGUGCCGUAUGAACGGGGAGUUGUCAUACGGACGAAAAACGUUUGUUUGCGGUCUGGUAUUCGCAUCCCGCUGC